This 820-nucleotide ribosomal RNA is filed under the name uncultured bacterium. Its description in RNAcentral is "bacterial SSU rRNA". It matches the Rfam family "Bacterial small subunit ribosomal RNA", at positions 8 to 819 of the family's 1533-position model. The record is from RNAcentral.
AGAGUUUGAUCAUGGCACAGAGUGAACGCUGGCGGCGUGGAUUAGGCAUGCAAGUCGAGCGAUCUCACAAGGGAUAGCGGCAAACGGGUGAGGAACACGUAAAUAAUCUUCCCCUUAUCCGGACAUAGCUCUAUGAAAAUAGAGGUAAUAUCCGAUGACACCAUGAUCUCUCAUGAGAUUAUGUUUAAAGACGGGGACCGCAAGGCCUGUCGAUAUGGGAUGAGUUUGCGUAGCAUCAGCUAGUUGGUAGGGUAACGGCCUACCAAGGCUAUGACGCUUAGCUGGUCUGAGAGGAUGGUCAGCCACACUGGGACUGAGACACUGCCCAGACACCUACGGGAGGCUGCAGUCGAGAAUCUUUAGCAAUGGGCGAAAGCCUGACUAUGCGACGCCGCGUGAGGGAUGAAGGAUUUCGGUUCGUAAACCUCUUUUGGCAGGGAAGAAAAAGUUGCAGUUAAUAGCUGCAAAACUGACGGUACCUGCAGAAUAAGCCACGGCUAACUCCGUGCCAGCAGCCGCGGUAAUACGGAGGUGGCUAGCGUUACUCGGAAUUAUUGGGUGUAAAGGGCAAGUAGGCGGCUUGGUAAGUGGGGGGUGAAAUACUCCGGCUCAAUCGGAGAACUGUCUUCCAAACUGCCAGGCUUGAGUGUGACAGAGGAAAAUGGAAUUCUCGGUGUAAGGGUGAAAUCUGUAGAUAUCGAGAAGAACACCAGCGGCGAAGGCGAUUUUCUGGGUCAUUACUGACGCUAAAUUGCGAAAGCUAGGGGAGCAAACAGAAUUAGAUACUCUGGUAGUCCUAGCCGUAAACGAUGAGCACUAG